AUGGCGCACCCCAAGUCCCAUCUCGCCUGCUUGUUCCUCGCCCUCGCCCUCGCCGUCCUGACCGCCGCCGCGUCGGAGCCUUUGCUUUCGGCGGCCGUGACAGCCAGGGCGCCCGCUCCCUCCCCCAACGGCGACUUGGUAGCGAAACCAUCGGCAUGGGGAUGGACAUGGUGCAUCAUCCCCUGCUUUCCGUUUAUACCAGAGAUAUUUUGCAUACCACCAAUAUUCUGUCCACGGACGCCGCAACCACCGCCGCCAUCACCGCCUCCCCCGCCCCCAUUGAAGCCUCAGCCGAAGGAGUGCCGGACGCCGCUGAUGGGGCUGAUGCCGUGCAAGGAUUUCCUCACCAGCAGCACCGCGCCGGAGCCUCCGAACCAGGGCAAGUGCUGCGACGGCCUCAGGUCGCUCGUCCAAGACGCUCCCAUCUGCCUUUGCCGCAUACUGGAGGGCACCGAUCUCGACAAGCUCAUGUCGGCGACCGUGGAUAGAGAGAAAUUCAUUCGUACGAUGAUCAUCUGCGACUCGAGUCCGGGUGAAUUUGGUUCUUGUGAAGG
This 554-nucleotide ribosomal RNA is filed under the name Triticum aestivum (bread wheat). RNAcentral describes it as "partial small subunit ribosomal RNA". Lineage: Eukaryota; Viridiplantae; Streptophyta; Magnoliopsida; Poales; Poaceae. The record is from RNAcentral.